GAGUGACAGGUUGCAGGCUGCAGCCUGGCCAUCCUGCAGGCUGGGAAGCACAGCCCCUGGCAAAAACCAGACGCGAGCACUUCAGAGAAGGAAGGAUGAGACAGGAAUUGAAGCUGAACAGAGUUGAAGACCAUGUAUAUACAAGAAGCGAGAGGAGAGACCUGCUACUAAGGCCAGUGGGAAAGCGAAAGAACUUGGUGAUCUCUUUACGCAUACCUGCUCCCCUUCCACUUUCCACCAUGACUGGAAGCACCAUGAGGCCCUCACCAGAUGGAGCUGCUCAAUCUUAAACUUUUCAGCCACCAGAAUUAUAAGCCAAAUAAAUUUCUUUUCUUUAUAAAUUACCCAGCCUCAGGCAUUCUGUUAGGGCAACACAAGAUGGACUAAGACAAUGCUAGUACUACUAGAAAGUGAGUUUUCUCUUUUGCCCUGGACUGACCAGA
Molecule: long non-coding RNA, 443 nt
Filed under: Pan troglodytes (chimpanzee)
Lineage: Eukaryota; Metazoa; Chordata; Mammalia; Primates; Hominidae
Description: long non-coding RNA NONPTRT009302
Source: RNAcentral